Long non-coding RNA from Lytechinus variegatus (green sea urchin), 431 nucleotides. RefSeq lists it as uncharacterized. The record is from RefSeq and is a predicted model, not a curated record. Lineage: Eukaryota; Metazoa; Echinodermata; Echinoidea; Temnopleuroida; Toxopneustidae. The transcript is spliced from 3 exons.
AACCGAAUCACAUGACGUAUAAAGGGAAUAUAAGGAAGUAACAUUGACAAUUUUCCAACAUAUUGCGAAUGUCAUCAUUUCAUGUUCACAUACUCUCUUUGAAUUUUGGAAUCUACGGUCAGUUGAAACAUACAGGACCUCCUUGCAUUUCCAUCCAUGUUCACCGAAGGAUGAUGUCCAUUUCUACACACAUAAUACAUGUACUUAGCCUUUGUAUCAUCAUCUCAAGAAGCUAUGGAGUUUACAUCUCCUGGAAAGUUGCGACUAACGCACCAUCUAGGACUGAUCACGGGAAGAUUCUUAACUGCAUCGCAUCACAUCCAGAACUACCAGAAAACCUUCAAUGCUCAGUUCAUCUGAGUGUUCAUGUUCUUCCUAUGAGAGUGUUACUCUUUCAACUUGGGGGUAGCCAGUCCCGGUCAAGACUCAUG